This 551-nucleotide ribosomal RNA is filed under the name uncultured Glomeromycotina. RNAcentral's name for it is "SSU rRNA". It matches the Rfam family "Eukaryotic small subunit ribosomal RNA", at positions 548 to 1098 of the family's 1831-position model. The record is from RNAcentral. Lineage: Eukaryota; Fungi; Glomeromycota.
UUGGAGGGCAAGUCUGGUGCCAGCAGCCGCGGUAAUUCCAGCUCCAAUAGCGUAUAUUAAAGUUGUUGCAGUUAAAAAGCUCGUAGUUGAACUUCGGGGUCUACCCAUUGGUCAGGCUUAAUUGUCUGUACUGGUGAGAUGGAUCUCUACCUUCUGAGGAACCUUCAUGCCAUUUAUUUGGUGUGGUUGGAAAUCAGGACUGUUACUUUGAAAAAAUUAGAGUGUUUAAAGCAGACUAUCGUCUGAAUACAUUAGCAUGGAAUAAUGAAAUAGGACGGACUGAUUCUAUUUCGUUGGUUUCUAGGAUCACCGUAAUGAUUAAUAGGGAUAGUUGGGGGCAUUAGUAUUCAAUUGUCAGAGGUGAAAUUCUUGGAUUUAUUGAAGACUAACUACUGCGAAAGCAUUUGCCAAGGAUGUUUUCAUUAAUCAAGAACGAAAGUUAGGGGAUCGAAGACGAUCAGAUACCGUCGUAGUCUUAACCAUAAACUAUGCCGACUAGGGAUCGGACGAAGUUAAUUUUAUAAUGACGCGUUCGGCGCCUUACGGGAAAC